GUGUAUAUAUCUGUAUAUACAUGUGUGUAUGUAUAUAUACACACACAUGUAUAUACAGAUAUAUAUAUA
This 69-nucleotide microRNA precursor is filed under the name Marmota monax (woodchuck). It matches the Rfam family "mir-10 microRNA precursor family". From Rfam's summary of the family: In this case the mature sequence comes from the 5' arm of the precursor. The extents of the hairpin precursors are not generally known and are estimated based on hairpin prediction. The products are thought to have regulatory roles through complementarity to mRNA. The record is from RNAcentral. Lineage: Eukaryota; Metazoa; Chordata; Mammalia; Rodentia; Sciuridae.